This 468-nucleotide ribosomal RNA is filed under the name uncultured bacterium. RNAcentral's name for it is "partial 16S ribosomal RNA". It matches the Rfam family "Bacterial small subunit ribosomal RNA", at positions 28 to 507 of the family's 1533-position model. The record is from RNAcentral.
GACGAACGCUGGCGGCGUGCUUAACACAUGCAAGUCGAACGGAAAGGCCCUGCUUUUGUGGGGUGCUCGAGUGGCGAACGGGUGAGUAACACGUGAGUAACCUGCCCUUGACUUUGGGAUAACUUCAGGAAACUGGGGCUAAUACCGGAUAGGAGCUCCUGCUGCAUGGUGGGGGUUGGAAAGUUUCGGCGGUUGGGGAUGGACUCGCGGCUUAUCAGCUUGUUGGUGGGGUAGUGGCUUACCAAGGUUUUGACGGGUAGCCGGCAUGAGAGGGUGACCGGCCACAUUGGGACUGAGAUACGGCCCAGACUCCUACGGGAGGCAGCAGUGGGGAAUAUUGCACAAUGGGCGGAAGCCUGAUGCAGCAACGCCGCGUGCGGGAUGACGGCCUUCGGGUUGUAAACCGCUUUCGCCUGUGACGAAGCGUGAGUGACGGUAAUGGGUAAAGAAGCACCGGCUAACUACGUG